This is a long non-coding RNA of Mus musculus (house mouse), 1071 nucleotides long. RefSeq annotates it as RIKEN cDNA D630010B17 gene. NCBI's taxonomy places the organism in Eukaryota, Metazoa, Chordata, Mammalia, Rodentia, Muridae. The record is from RefSeq and is marked validated. The transcript is spliced from 4 exons.
ACAACUUCAAGGAUAAUCUACAUGCCUGCUUCACCACCAUAAAACAGUCUCUAAAUCUUUACAAGGUCUAGACUUCUAAUCAUGGGCUUGAGACAAGAGCCCAUCUGCUGAAAUGGAAGACUUUGAAGUCAGGAAUCUGUUUGCAUUAAACUUCCACAGAGCCAUUGUCCUAGACCAUCUUAUCAUUAAGCAAAAGUCGAGAACCUUGAAGAGUCCGAAGUCCGUCUAAGGAAAAUCAGUAAGGACGAGUCUCGAGUGGGGCUUUGGCUCGCCACAGAUAACCAUCUGCCUCUCCACAUCGAAGGACAGGAGAACGGUAUGAAGCUGUACUUCUCACGGUUUUAAAAUGCAAAGGAAGUCACGGCAGAAUUCAAGGCCCAGCACAUUUGCUCUCUGGCCAAUUACAAGGAAUGGUUGCGGCCCUUCUUCUCCAAGCACUCUGUGUACUGUAAGAAACAAACCAGUCUUCCCAGCAUCCUGUUUACACAUAACUUCUGGUCCAGUGGCUCUGAGGCUGUGACGCUUAUUUCUAAUGAGCUCUCAGGAGAUGGCGUUGGCCCCAGGGCCACCUGCACAUAGGUUUGAAAAGCAAACCUCUGGGUGCAGGCGGUUAGCUGCAUUGGCAGCUGUGUAUCAUUAGAAAGUGCGGCACUCACGAUGCUCGUAGAGAACCUUCCAGAAGUCCAAUGCAGACUACAGAAGAUCAUGGCUGUUGGCUGCAGACAGAGCUGGAGGAAAUCCUUGUGCUGUUUAUGCGGCAGGCCUUAACAUGCAGUGGAGGUCACAGCCCUGGCAAGCUUUCUACAGAAGAACACUGUACAAGAUGCAACAGCAGCCUCUGCUGUCCAGUAUUCAGAACGCCAACAGACCCCAUACUCUCUUCUCUUUGGGUUGCUUCAACAGCAGCCUCUGCUGUCCAGUAUUCAGAAUGCCAACGGACCCCAUACUCUCUUCUCUUUGGGUUGUUUGAGCUGGAGCAAAACUGUCCGUUUCCUUACUUAUCUUGUAUCAGACAAAAAAAUGUGCUGUCUGAAAUAAUUUUUAAAAAAUAAAACAAAAUGGUUUCCCGCC